UACAGGAGUCAUCAGCGUUGUCGGAUUCAUUGGGCGUAAAGGGUGCGUAGGCGGCGCGGUAAGUCGGGUGUGAAAUCUCGGGGCUUAACUCCGAAACUGCAUUCGAUACUGGAUGGCUUGAGGUUGGGAGAGGGAUGCGGAAUUCCAGGUGUAGCGGUGAAAUGCGUAGAUAUCUGGAGGAACACCGGUGGCGAAGGCGGCAUCCUGGACCAAUUCUGACGCUGAGGAGCGAAAGCCAGGGGAGCAAACGGG
This 252-nucleotide ribosomal RNA is filed under the name uncultured bacterium. RNAcentral describes it as "partial 16S ribosomal RNA". It matches the Rfam family "Bacterial small subunit ribosomal RNA", at positions 524 to 776 of the family's 1533-position model. The record is from RNAcentral.